Molecule: ribosomal RNA, 84 nt
Filed under: Cuminum cyminum
Lineage: Eukaryota; Viridiplantae; Streptophyta; Magnoliopsida; Apiales; Apiaceae
Also listed under: 4 other names
Description: partial 5.8S ribosomal RNA
Rfam family: 5.8S ribosomal RNA
About the family: 5.8S ribosomal RNA (5.8S rRNA) is a component of the large subunit of the eukaryotic ribosome.
Source: RNAcentral
UGCAGAAUCCCGUGAACCAUCGAGUCUUUGAACGCAAGUUGCGCCCGAAGCCAUUAGGCCGAGGGCACGUCUGCCUGGGUGUCA